RNAcentral lists this non-coding RNA (234 nucleotides) under Eubacterium sp. RNAcentral describes it as "T-box sequence". It matches the Rfam family "T-box leader". From Rfam's summary of the family: Uncharged tRNA acts as the effector for transcription antitermination of genes in the T-box leader family. Lineage: Bacteria; Bacillati; Bacillota; Clostridia; Eubacteriales; Eubacteriaceae. The record is from RNAcentral.
UGAAAAGCAAGGAUAGGGACAGUACAUGAAGUACUUUUCUUCAGAGAGUUAUCGGUUGGUGAAAGAUAACGAAAAGUUUCAUAGUAAAUCACCCUUGAGCUGACAUCUGAAAUUUAGUAAGAGCGUUCGUAUGUUCUGCGUUAAAGAAUAGUACAUAGUGGUGUAUGAAUUAAGUGAUUGCUUUUUUGCAAUAAAAAGAGUGGUACCACGGAGAUUACGGUCUUCGUCUCUUUA